AUACCGGCUGCUCGAGUGAUGGCCACUAUUACUGGGUUUAAAGCGUCCGUAGCUUGACUGUUAGGUCUCUUGGGAAAUCUUUUGGCUUAACCAAAAGGCGUCUAAGAGAUACCGGCAUUCUUGGAACUGGGAGAGGUAAGCCGUACUUCGGGGGUAGGAGUGAAAUCUUGUAAUCCUCGAGGGACGACCUAUGGCGAAGGCAGCUUACCAGAACAGCUUCGACAGUGAGGGACGAAAGCUGGGGGAGCAAACGGGAUUAGAUACCCCGGUAGUCCCAGCCGUAAACAAUGUGCGUUAGGUGUGUCGGUUACCACGCGUAACUGACGCGCCGAAGAGAAAUCGUGAAACGCACCACCUGGGAAGUACGGUCGCAAGGCUGAAACUUAAAGGAAUUGGCGGGG
This 401-nucleotide ribosomal RNA is filed under the name uncultured bacterium. RNAcentral describes it as "partial 16S ribosomal RNA". It matches the Rfam family "Archaeal small subunit ribosomal RNA", at positions 473 to 873 of the family's 1478-position model. The record is from RNAcentral.